GACGAACGCUGGCGGCGUGCUUAACACAUGCAAGUCGAGCGGUAAGGCCCUUUCGGGGGUACACGAGCGGCGAACGGGUGAGUAACACGUGGGUGACCUGCCCUCAGCUCUGGGAUAAGCCUGGGAAACCGGGUCUAAUACCGGAUAUGACUCCAUGACGCAUGUUGUGGGGGUGAAAGCCUUGUGCGGCUGAGGAUGGGCCCGCGGCCUAUCAGCUCGUUGGNGGGGUGAUGGCCUACCAAGGCGACGACGGGUAGCCGGCCUGAGAGGGCGACCGGCCACACUGGGACUGAGACACGGCCCAG
RNAcentral lists this ribosomal RNA (305 nucleotides) under uncultured bacterium. RNAcentral's name for it is "bacterial SSU rRNA". It matches the Rfam family "Bacterial small subunit ribosomal RNA", at positions 28 to 334 of the family's 1533-position model. The record is from RNAcentral.